RNAcentral lists this unclassified non-coding RNA (344 nucleotides) under uncultured fungus. RNAcentral's name for it is "partial contains 18S rRNA, ITS1, 5.8S rRNA, ITS2 and 28S rRNA". Lineage: Eukaryota; Fungi. The record is from RNAcentral.
AAGGAUCAUUAACACAACUAAUACAUGGACCGACUCAAUCGGUUUAACCACUGAUGGCGAUCCAUGUUAUUAACAUCCAACCGUGACUCUGUUUCUCCCUACGAUCGUAACACAUCGUAGGUUCAUCGUCAUGAUCCAGAUUAUCGACGCAAGUCGGUAAUCACUUGACAGUUUGAAGUUGCUUCAUCUGUCAAGGGGCAUGGCCGCUUUUUAAUCAUUCACCCCUUCCACAUACCUUGAACUGAUAUAAAGUUGAUAGAUGGACUCGUUCAUCUAUUGGCUGACUUGACUUUGAUGUCAAAUCAAACAAAAUACAACUCUUAACAACGGAUAUCUCGGUUGAC